Molecule: ribosomal RNA, 1011 nt
Filed under: Pseudoniphargus gorbeanus
Lineage: Eukaryota; Metazoa; Arthropoda; Malacostraca; Amphipoda; Allocrangonyctidae
Description: l-rRNA
Rfam family: Archaeal large subunit ribosomal RNA (bases 796-953)
Source: RNAcentral
AUUAUUUUUAGUUAUUUAUAAAUAAAGAAUUUUAUUUUAGUACCUUUUGUAUCAGGGUUAGUUAAUUUUUUAGUAUAUGUGUAUUUUUCGAAAUUAAUAGGGUUAAAUAUAUUAAUUUAAAUGUUAAAUAAUUAUGUUUAUGUAUUUAGUAAGUAAAUUUUUUCGGUUUUAAUGAUAACUAGUUAUUAUGGUAUUAAUAAUAUUUAGGAUUAGCUUUUUAUUUUUCUAUAUUUUUUUUAUUUAUUGUAGAUUAGGCUCAAGAUUAGCUAUAUUUAUAGUUUGUUUUAAAUAUUUUAUUUAGUAAUAAGUUAAAUUGGUGUUAACCUAUAAUUAUGGCUAUUUAUUUUUUAUAAUGUAUUAUGAUUAAAUUAGUAGUUUUUUUUACUAUUACAUAUAACUUGUUUUCUAUAAAAUAGUUUAACAAAAACAUUUCUUUUUUUUUAAAAAGUAAUGCCUGCCCAGUGAUUGUUAAACGGCUGCGGUAUUUUGACUGUGCUAAGGUAGCAUAAUAAUUUGUUUUUUAAUUGUAAACUGGUAUGAAAGGGUUUAUUUAUAGUAGUUAUUAAUUUUUAGGAAAAAUAAUUUAUAUUUGUAGUAAAAAUACUUCAAUAUAUCAAAGUGACGAUAAGACCCUGUAAGCUUUAUUUUAUUUUUAUUAAAUAGUAUAAUUAAUUUAUUGUUAAAUUUAUUAAUUUUACUGGGGCAGUAGUAUUAUUUUAAUUAAUACUAUUAGUACACAUUGUUUGUGAAUUUAUUGGCUUUAAUAUAAGAAUGAUAAAGGUUAGUUACUGCAGGGAUAACAGCGCAAUGAGUUUGGAGAGGCCUUAUCGAUGAAAUUGUAUGCGACCUCGAUGUUGAAUUAAGAUUUCUUUUUGUUGCAGCAGGCAAGUAGAAGGUUUGUUCAACCUUUAAAAUUUUACAUGAUUUGAGUUCAAAUCGGUUUGAGCCAGAUUGGUUUCUAUCUUUUAUAGGAGGUAAUUUAUGUAAGUACGAAAGGGACACAUAGAUUUU